Molecule: ribosomal RNA, 821 nt
Filed under: uncultured bacterium
Lineage: Bacteria
Description: bacterial SSU rRNA
Rfam family: Bacterial small subunit ribosomal RNA
Source: RNAcentral
AGUGAAGGAGCUUGCUCUUUCAUUUAGUGGCGCACAGGUGAGUAACGCGUAGAUAAUCUGCCUUGGACUCUGGGAUAACAUCUCGAAAGGGGUGCUAAUACCGGAUAAGCCCACGAUGGCGUAAGUCAUUGCGGGAAAAGGGGGCCUCUGAAUAUGCUCCUGAUUCAAGAUGAGUCUGCGUACCAUUAGCUAGUUGGUAGGGUAAGAGCCUACCAAGGCGACGAUGGUUAGCUGGUCUGAGAGGAUGAUCAGCCACACUGGAACUGAGACACGGUCCAGACUCCUACGGGAGGCAGCAGUGGGGAAUUUUGCGCAAUGGGGGAAACCCUGACGCAGCAACGCCGCGUGAGUGAUGAAGGCUUUCGGGUCGUAAAGCUCUGUCUAGAGGGAAGAAAUGAUAGUCGGUUAAUACCCGGUUUUCUUGACGGUACCUCUGAAGGAAGCACCGGCUAACUCCGUGCCAGCAGCCGCGGUAAUACGGAGGGUGCAAGCGUUGUUCGGAUUUAUUGGGCGUAAAGCGCGUGUAGGCGGUUUGUUAAGUCUGAUGUGAAAGCCCUGGGCUCAACCUGGGAAGUGCAUUGGAAACUGGCAGACUUGAAUACGGGAGAGGGUAGUGGAAUUCCUAGUGUAGGAGUGAAAUCCGUAGAUAUUAGGAGGAACACCGGUGGCGAAGGCGGCUACCUGGACCGAUAUUGACGCUGAGACGCGAAAGCGUGGGGAGCAAACAGGAUUAGAUACCCUGGUAGUCCACGCCGUAAACGAUGAGUACUAGGUGUUGCGGGUAUUGACCCCUGCAGUGCCGCAGCUAACGCAUUAAGUAC